RNAcentral lists this ribosomal RNA (497 nucleotides) under uncultured bacterium. RNAcentral's name for it is "partial 16S ribosomal RNA". It matches the Rfam family "Bacterial small subunit ribosomal RNA", at positions 28 to 507 of the family's 1533-position model. The record is from RNAcentral.
GACGAACGCUGGCGGCGUGCCUAAUACAUGCAAGUCGAGCGAACAGACGAGGAGCUUGCUCCUUCGACGUUAGCGGCGGACGUGUGAGUAACACGUAGGUAACCUACCUAUAAGACUGGGAAAACUUCGGGAAACCGGAGCUAAUACCGGAUAAUAUUUCGAACCGCAUGGUUCGAUAGUGAAAUAUGGCUUUGCUAUCACUUAUAGAUGGACCUGCGCCGUAUUAGCUAGUUGGUAAGGUAACAGCUUAUCAAGGCAACUAUACGUAGCCGACCUGAGAGGGUGGUAGGCCACACUGGAGGGGGGACGCGCUCAAGGCUCCUGCGGGAGGGCGCAGUAGGGAAUCUUCCGCAAUGGGGGAAAACCUGGCGGAGCAACGCCGCGUGAGUUGUAAAGGUCUUCGGAUCGUAAAACUCUGUUAUUAGGGAAGAACAAAUGUGUAAGUAACUGUGCACGUCUUGACGGUACCUAGUCAGAAAGCCACGGCUAACUACGUG